This 82-nucleotide transfer RNA is filed under the name Thermodesulfobium narugense DSM 14796. It matches the Rfam family "tRNA". From Rfam's summary of the family: Transfer RNA (tRNA) molecules are approximately 80 nucleotides in length. Their secondary structure includes four short double-helical elements and three loops (D, anti-codon, and T loops). The record is from Rfam by way of RNAcentral. Lineage: Bacteria; Pseudomonadati; Thermodesulfobiota; Thermodesulfobiia; Thermodesulfobiales; Thermodesulfobiaceae.
GCCGGGGUGGCGAAAUGGCAGACGCAACGGACUUAAAAUCCGUCGGGUAUCCCCCGUGUGGGUUCGAGUCCCACCCCCGGCA